UACGUAGGGUGCAAGCGUUAAUCGGAAUUACUGGGCGUAAAGCGUGCGCAGGCGGUUGUGUAAGACAGAUGUGAAAUCCCCGGGCUCAACCUGGGAACUGCAUUUGUGACUGCACGGCUGGAGUGCGGCAGAGGGGGAUGGAAUUCCGCGUGUAGCAGUGAAAUGCGUAGAUAUGCGGAGGAACACCGAUGGCGAAGGCAAUCCCCUGGACCUGUACUGACGCUCAUGCACGAAAGCGUGGGGAGCAAACAGG
RNAcentral lists this ribosomal RNA (253 nucleotides) under uncultured bacterium. Its description in RNAcentral is "partial 16S ribosomal RNA". It matches the Rfam family "Bacterial small subunit ribosomal RNA", at positions 524 to 776 of the family's 1533-position model. The record is from RNAcentral.